CUUGUCUUCUCAUUCUCUUGCGAGGGUCAGUCGGGGCUCUAAGACAGACGUGGCACUAAGGGCUCGCGAAAGCCUGUCUUAACGUGUGGACUUGGAACACAGUCUUCUGGCCCAGCCACGUCUGGGCCUUGCUGCUGCUGAAGAAAAGCCACUGGCUUUUCUGGAUUCCUGAACUCACAGAUCCUGAUUGCCUGGACUGACUCUAAGCCCAAACCUGAUCCUGUCCGCCCCAGGCUGAUUCACUCUCAGCGUGCACUGUGCUCAGUGGAAAGCAGGCAUAUGCUCAGUGAACAGGACUUUGGCUCUGGGAUGUCGGCAGAUUGAGGACACCCUCUGUGGGACCAUAAACUGUGAAAACAUCAUGGAUGCUGGCGCGACCAUCUGGGUCACAUAAAAACGCCCACAGGAAGAGGCUUCUUUGAUGGAACUCUCUGAAAUCAAGCUACUGUUCAGCUCUAUGUUUCUGAGGCAGAUGCUAAUUUCUGACGUUUUCUAACUCAUGAUUCCUGCCGAAAGCUGCAAGUUAGGGGAGGGCGCAUCACAGACGGUGACCCCUCUGGUCACUCCUAAUAGACGGACUCUUGACCCCCUUGGGCAGCUGUCCUCAGAAAUGUACUGAUCUGCUCCAGGCUGCUCAUUGGAUAAAUGAUCAGGACAAAAGGAAGGGGUCGGGGGUUGUAAAAAUUAUUCUAAAAGUUCAAGAUUUCAUCCUGACCAGUUCCUGGAUAUGAUGUGUCUUUCAGGUGGGAAUGCAAAAUGGUGCAGCCACUCUGGAAAGCAGUCCGGCUGUUCUUCAAAAACCUAAACACAGAGUGACCACGUGACCCAGCCAUUCCGCUCCUACCUGUAUACUGCAUCCAAGAGGAUUGAAAACAGGUGUUCAAACAAAACCUUGUACAUGAAUGUUCACAGCAGCGUUAUUCAUAAUAGCAAAAAAGUGGGAAUAACCCAAAUGUCCAUCACCUGAUGAAUGGGUAAACAAAAUGAGAUAUACCCAUACAAUGGAACAGUAUUCAGCCAUAACAGAAUGGGGAUGAUGGGGUACUGAUCCGUGCUACAACAUGGAUGAAACUUGAAAACAUUAUGCUCAGCGAAAGAGAGCUACACACUGUAUGAUUCCAACUAUAGGAAAUGCCCAGAAUAGGCAAAUCCAUAGAGACAGAAAAUAGAUUAGUGAUUGGCAGGGAAUGAGGAAAUGGGGGAAUGGAUGGUGACCCCUCACAGGUACAGAGUUUCUCCAUAGAGUGAUGAGAAUGUUCUGGAACUAGACAAUGGAGAUGCUUGCACGACAUUGUGGAUGUACUAAAAACCAGUGAAUUGUUUAUUUUAAAACGGUGAAUUAUAUAUUAUAUGAAUUUUACCUCGACAAAAAAAAUGUUGGGGAAAAACAUAUAAAGUUAUGAUUACUGGCUGAGCCACACGAAUUUUGUAACAAAAAAGGAAAAACACAAACUUGGCCCCUGGGGAGGCACGAGAAUCGGAGGAGAGACACGCAUGAUCUUUGUCUUUCCGAACUACCCCUGGGAGCUCCCCGCGCCUCCCCAAAGAAGAAAACAAGAGGAAGGCCCAGUGCCACCUUUCCCAGUGGUUGGACUGCUUUGAGUUCAAACUGCGAGUUUAGCCCCCAUGUCUGUCCCUCCAGCUGCUCACACCUGACAGAGCUGACCAGGAGAGAGCAGGAGGGGGCCCCAGCCCUGAAUAUGUCCAGGUAUUCUGUUAAUGGGAUUUGCUUUAACUGGCUGAAUCCAGGACCCUGGAGGACAUCACUGCAGCCAGUCCUGCAGGUUGGUCUCCCUCUGGGGGCUCCUACUGAUGAUAAUUUUUCUGCAGAGACGCCUUGGCCAAGGGUCGAUGGAGGGGACUGCAGAAGAGAGUCAGCAUGGCAGGCCUGGGGCAGCUGUCUUUAGAAGGGCUGCUUACAAGGUUGGCCGGUGGCUGGCGUCCGGGGCUUUCCCAUCAUUCCCUACUUGCUGAGGGGGUACACAGAGCUGGGACUGUGCAAACGUGUGGUUUACGCUGAGCACUAGUGUUCCUUCUUGGAGUCUGGAAUUUUGGUCCCUGCUGGGCAGAGGGGGCCUAUGUGACUGGUCCCCAGUGAAAACCUGGAUGUUAGCAUUCUAAGGGGCUUCCCUGGGCAGAAACGUCACACACGCCUUGCUGCCUUUCUGUCACACUCUGUGACCCCUCGUGGGAGGGAGAGCGCACAAAAAAUCCUGGAGUGAUUCCUCCAGACCCCACCUGUGUCUCAUUCCCUUCCGAUCUGGCUGUGUAUCCUCAGAACAUUGCCGCAAUAAAUCUUAGCCGAGUUCAGCUGCAUGCUGAGUCCCAUGGGUCCUUCCAGAAAAUCACCGGACGUGGGAGCGGUCUUGGGGACUCCCAACACUGGACCUUGAAUCUUUCAAUUCCAUUCAAAUGUUGCCAAAUGUCCCAGUAAUAUUUUUCUAUAGCAAAAGGAUCCAGGUCAGAAUCAUGUGUGAUGGCUUCUAGUUGUCCUGUCUCCUAGACUCCUCGAUCUGGAACAUUUCUGCCGUCUCUUUUCCACUUUUAUCAUCUUGACAGAUUUGAACAUUAUAGGCCAGUUUUGCUAUGUAGAAUGUCCCUCAAUUUAGUUCUGUCUGGUGGUUCCUUGUAAAUUCAGAUCGUGCAUCUUUGACAAGAAUAUCACAGCAGUGACUUUUUUGUCCUCAUUCGAUCCCAACAGGUGGCCCAUGAUUUCAAUUUGUCCUGUUACUGACGGUGCUCACCUUGAUCACCGACUUAAGGUGGUGUCUGCCGGCCUUCACUGUCAACCUAAUCUUUUCUCUCCCUAAAUAGUGUCUGUGGGAAGCAUCUUUCAAGGGUGGGCUUGCAAGUUUGGCCCUUGGCUGGCCUCUGGAAUCUCGGAUUUGGGGAGUGAUAAGGGAUGAUGAGGAUCGAGUGCCUGGAUUCUGUGAAUAAUACAGUUUAUGCUAUUUUCCUUCUUGAAUUCUGGUACAUGCUAGGAAUUAGGUCCACGCUGUGUUCAGCAUAAGCACGGUGUUCACACAAAUAGUCCAGCCACAGUAAAUCACUCUUAUCAGUUGGGGAAUGGUGAGAACACUUCCAAAAGCCAGGUUUCCAGAUGCCAGCCAAGGGCCAACCUUGAAAGCAGGCCCUCCUAAAGAUAAAAGCCCCAGGCCGGCUAUGUUGACUCUUUUCUUCACAGUCCCCAACUCAGCUCCACGUGAAUGUAGCCACAAUCCAAACUCUCUUUUAGUUGCUCUUCUGAAAUAUGUGGAACCUCCUAUUUCAUCUGUCUUCCUCUUUGAGCGGCCCAACCCUCUCUCCCUCCCCUGACAGGUGGCGACCUUGAAGCCAUCGGAAUCAAUAGCUUGGGUGGGAUACCAGCAUCUUCCAUAUGAUGUUUGCAGCUGGGGUGCCUUCCGCUGUGUCAUGGAGACAUUGUGGGGGAGCUUUUGAGGAGUCUGAAUGACAGGUGCACAGAGUGUUAGCUUUGCCAGCUCUCCCAGGUGUCCAGUGUCUGGAGUCUAGUUAUUUCAGACUACAGCCCACAGGCAGAGCAGAACCCCUUAGCAGAGUUCAGUUCCUUCCAUCUCUGCUUACAAACUCAUCAGUUCUUGUCUGAGCUCAUCUCUCUUAUAAGGAUAUUGCAAAAAGCAAAAAGGGGCAGGAUACACGCCUGGGUUUUCCAACCAAUUCCCUAGGGCCACAAGCUCAGGUGACCAAUGGCCGGCUGAUCUAGUUACCAAAGCAGAUGGUUCUACAAAAUAUUUUCUUGGGACAUAAAAAAAGUCACCAAC
Molecule: long non-coding RNA, 3779 nt
Filed under: Equus caballus (horse)
Lineage: Eukaryota; Metazoa; Chordata; Mammalia; Perissodactyla; Equidae
Description: lncRNA (ENSECAG00000044656.1)
Source: RNAcentral